AGAAAACAAGAGUUUCAUGAUGAAGAUGAAUUGUGGCGAACUGUUCUGGAUAUGAUUCAUAUAUUUGUUUCUUCGGUCUGUUCCUGUGUUUCGCGAAAGGUGUGUUUGGUGUUGAUACGGAUGGAUUGAAGUCAGUGUCGGUGAUGGAUGGAGAUUCUGUCACUCUACACACUGAUCUUACUGAAAUACAGAGAGAUGAUCACAUACUGUGGAUGUUUGGACCUCAAGAGACUCGAAUAGCUGAAAUUAUUAAACGGUUCAACUUGAGCUUUAUAGAUGAUGGUGAUGAUGGAAGAUUCAGAGACAAACUGCAGUUGGAUGAUCAGACUGGAUCUCUUCAGAAUCAUCAGAAUCAAACACUCUGGACUUUAUAAACUAAUGAUCAUCAGUAACAGAGGAAACUCAUACAAGAGAUUCAGUGUUACUGUAUACGCUCCCCUCCCUGUUCCUGUCAUUAUCAUUAACUCUUCAAACUGUUCUUCAUCAUCAUCAUCAUCAUCAGGAAGAUCAUUGAGCCCAAAAUGUUUCUUUCAAUGUUCAGUAAUGACA
This is a long non-coding RNA of Xyrauchen texanus (razorback sucker), 549 nucleotides long. RefSeq lists it as uncharacterized. Lineage: Eukaryota; Metazoa; Chordata; Actinopteri; Cypriniformes; Catostomidae. The transcript is spliced from 3 exons. The record is from RefSeq and is a predicted model, not a curated record.